RNAcentral lists this ribosomal RNA (438 nucleotides) under uncultured bacterium. RNAcentral describes it as "partial 16S ribosomal RNA". It matches the Rfam family "Bacterial small subunit ribosomal RNA", at positions 339 to 795 of the family's 1533-position model. The record is from RNAcentral.
CUACGGGGGGCAGCAGUGAGGAAUAUUGCACAAUGGGGGGAACCCUGAUGCAGCAACGCCGCGUGGAGGAUGACGCAUUUCGGUGUGUAAACUCCUUUUAUAUGUCAAGAAAAUGACGGUAGCAUAUGAAUAAGCACCGGCUAACUCGUGCCAGCAGCCGCGGUAAUACGGAGGGUGCAAGCGUUACUCGGAAUCACUGGGCGUAAAGGACGCGUAGGCGGGUUGGAAAGUCAGGUGUGAAAUCCUACAGCUUAACUGUAGAACUGCACUUGAAACUUCUAAUCUAGAGUAUGGGAGUGGGAGAUGGAAUUAGUGGUGUAGGGGUAAAAUCCGUAGAUAUCACUAGGAAUACCUAAAGCGAAGGCGAUCUCCUGGAACAUUACUGACGCUAAGGCGUGAAAGCGUGGGGAGCAAACAGGAUUAGAUACCCCUGUAGUC